ACCAAACGCACGUGAGACGCGGAGAGGAGGGUAGACGGGACACCCAACAGACACAACCGCGGGGGAGGAAGGUAGACGGGACACCUAAUAGACACACAACCGCGGGGGGAGGAAGGUAGACGGGACACCUAAUAGACACACAACCGCGGGGGAGGACGGUAGACGGGACACCCAACAGACACACAACCGCGGGGGGAGGAAGGUAGACGGGACACCCAACAGACACAACCGCGGGGGAGGACGGUAGACGGGACACCCAACAGACACACAACCGCGGGGGGAGGACGGUAGACGGGACACCUAACAGACACACAACCGCGAGGGGAGGACGGUAGACGGGGUAUUUGAACAGACACACAACCGCGGGGGAGGACGGUAGACGGGACACCCAACAGACACACAACCGCGGGGGGAGGACGGUAGACGGGGUAUUUGAACAGACACACAACCGCGGGGGGACGAAGGUAGACGGGGUAUUUGAACAGACGGGAAACCAAGCGGCGUCUGGGAGGAAGAGGGAAGAGCAGUUUCCGGUGUAAUGGCAGCCGGCGGAGGCGCCGGGAGCGCGCUGUUCUCGGGCUACCGAGCGCUCGGACUCUACUCCAACCACUUGCCGCACGCGCUCCGCUACCACGAGAAGCACCGUGAGUUUUACGUCACCACGGCGGUGGGGAACCGCUUCCAUACGUACAACGUCGGCAAGCUGGGUAUCACUGCUGUCAGUAACAGCCUGGCUGAGGACAUUUCCUGUCUGGCAGCUGACCGCAUGUUGGUGUUCGCUGCAGCGGGACAAGAGAUCUCUGCCUUCGCCCGCAACAAAGAGGUUGUGCACGUGUACCGUGGACACACGGCGGAGGUUCGAUUCCUCCUCCCCCUGGGAAAUCACCUGAUCUCUGCUGCAGUUGAUGGCACCCUCAUCGUCUGGGACGUGGAAGCAGAAGAGGACUAUCUGCGGCUGACAUUUGACCAGGUGACCUUUGAACUGUCAGCGAUGUUGCACCCCAGCACCUAUCUGAACAAGGUGCUGCUGGGAAGUACUCAGGGUGUACUGCAGCUGUGGAACAUUAAGACCAAUAAACUGCUGUAUACAUUCUCUGGCUGGUCAGCAGGGGUCACUGUUCUCACACAGAGCCCAGCGGUGGACGUGGUGGGGGUGGGCCUCAGCUCAGGGAAAGUCAUCAUCCACAACAUCCGCCUCGACAAAUCACUGAUGACCUUCACACAAGACUGGGGACCAGUUACAACGCUGGCCUUCCGCACAGACGGUCCUCCCAUCAUGGCUGCCGGCAGCCCUCAGGGCCACAUUGCAUUCUGGGACCUGGAGCGUCAGCAGCUAGCCAGUCAGCAGCGCCAUGCCCACAGUGGGGCUGUUGCGGCGGCGACUUUCCUCCACCAGCAGCCGCUGUUGAUCACCAACGCUUCUGACAACUCCAUCAAGGUUUGGAUAUUUGACCAGUCUGGAGGUGAAGCCCGGCUGCUGCGUAGUCGCCAGGGCCACAGCGCCCCGCCCACCUACAUCCGUCACCAUGGCAACCAUGGCCACGAUAUCCUGAGUGCUGGUCACGACGGGACGCUGCAAUCAUUCUCCUGCAUCCACGAGCGCUUCAACAAGAACCUGGGAAGAGGUUCCAUAAACAAGAAGUUAACCAAGAAAAAAGCUGUACGCUAUGAGGAGCUCCACCUCCCCAACAUCACUGCCUUUGCCACAGAGUGCGCACGUGAGAGUGACUGGGAUGGCAUUGUGGCAUGCCACCGUGGACACCUGGUCGUCACCACCUGGAACUACCAGCGGUGCACCAUGGGAGCCCACCGGCUACAGCCGCCUCGCUCCCAACGCGACAGGGCGCUUGAUGUCUACGCCACGGCAGUGGACAUAACUUCCUGUGGCAACUUUGCAGUGGUGGGUCUGUCGUCUGGCCACGCUGACGUCUAUAACAUCCAGUCGGGCCUCCACCGGGGGCAGUAUGGUGACGACGCAGCCCACCGCGGCGCUGUGCGCGGCGUGGCCGUGGAUGGCCUGAACCAGCUGACUGUCACUAUGGGCUCAGAUCAGCACCUGAGGCUGUGGCGCUUCAAAAGCCGGCAGCCAGUGUACGACCUUGAGCUGAGCGCCCCCCCCGACCGUCUUCGCCUCCACCGCGACAGUGGGAUGUUAGCCAUAGCAAUGGAUGACCUCACACUCAACGUGUUUGACUUGGAGACCCGAAGAGUUGUCCGGAAGUUCUCGGGCCACUGGAGGAAGAUCAAUGACAUGGCAUUCAGUCCUGAUGGUCGCUGGCUUGUUACUGUGGCGAUGGACUGCACAAUUCGCACUUGGGACGUCCCCACUGGAUGCCUGGUGGACUGCUUCCAGGUGGAUAUGGCGGCAGUGGGCUUGUCCUUCUCCCCCACUGGCGAUUUCCUUGCCACUACACAUGUGAACUGCCUGGGGGUCUACCUGUGGUCCAACAAAAGCCUCUGCAACCUGGUGUCACUCCGCCCGCUGCCUGCCAACUAUGAGCCAACGACCUCUGUGCUACCUAGCUCCUGCCCGGGUCAAGACGAGGAGAGACUGGAAGAAGAUACAGGUGCAAAUGUAGAUGAGUACAGCUCCCCAGAGCAGCUGGAUAGCAACUUGAUGACUCUUUCGCUUCUCCCGGAAUCUCGCUGGAAGAAUUUGCUCAACCUCGAAAUCAUCAAGAGACGGAACAAACCCAAGGAGCCUCCCAGAGUACCUGAGACAGCACCGUUUUUCCUUCCCACGGUUGCUGGACUAACUCCUUCUUUUGCCCACCCUGAGACCCCGCUGGCAGAGACUGAGUCAAAGGUGGUGAACUUCGGUGUGCUGGCCCAGAAAUCCAAAUUCUACCAAACACUGGAAUCCAACUCAUUUGAAGAAUCUUGUCGUCUGCUCAGAGAGUUCUCUCCGUCCAUGGUCGACAUCGAGCUCCGUGGCCUGGCCCCAGAGGCGGGUGGUUCCUCUGCCAUCCUAUUGGCCUUCCUCUGCAUGAUUGACAAUAUGCUGACCAACCGCAGGGACUAUGACCUGGCACAGGCCUACCUGGCGCUGUUUCUCAAGGCGCAAUCUGAAAGGGAUUGGAGACUGCAAGGGGGUGACGGGGGAACGUAGCAUCGGAUGGUGGUCUGUCGCAUGACUUUGGAGUUCAGGAAAAGGAAGAGAGGGAAGGCAGAGCCACGAAUCAAAUAGUUGAAGUUGAAGAAGGAAGACUGUUGUGUGGAGUUCAGGCAGGAGCUCCACCUCCGGCAGCUGUCAGCUGACGCUAUCGCUGUCAACGCUUUGCUCCGCCUCUUGGCCCAGUUGGAGGAAGGGUGGGCGGAGCUUCAGACAGCCUUCCACCAAUCCCUGUGUCUGCUGGCAUAUACCAAG
Molecule: RNA transcript, 3367 nt
Organism: Lampris incognitus (smalleye Pacific opah)
Lineage: Eukaryota; Metazoa; Chordata; Actinopteri; Lampriformes; Lampridae
Gene: wdr36
Gene name: WD repeat domain 36
Exons: 24
Source: RefSeq, a predicted model, not a curated record